This 1602-nucleotide long non-coding RNA is filed under the name Equus caballus (horse). RNAcentral describes it as "lncRNA (ENSECAG00000048443.1)". The record is from RNAcentral. Lineage: Eukaryota; Metazoa; Chordata; Mammalia; Perissodactyla; Equidae.
AGACUAAGAACUGAAACUGCUCUGCAAUUGCCCAAAUUAUAGUGAAUAUCAGAUAAAAGGUUUGCUAUCUCCUGCUGUCUAUUUUCAGGAGCCAUAAAUAACCCAGCACAAGCAGAGCUACCCCCUGCAAGCAACACGAUGCCUUCUGGAAGUCUGAAUAGGGGAAGAACAGUCUUGCCAUCUCAGUAAUGUUCUGAUUCAGCCAAUUUAUGGUGGGAACUGAGAUCCUUCAUUUCUAAGAAGCAACCAGGAGAUGCCAACUCUACAGGUCCAGGGCUCAGGUUUUGAGUGAUACUCAUCAAGAGCUCCUGGAGGAACUGAGUCAUGCUUUCACAGGAAUCUCUUAAGAAAGGAGGAGAAUGAAUUCCAGGAGAUAAAAACAGUCUCCAGCUGCAACACCUUGGCACUGGGAUGGAAACAAAUGGAGCAUUUAUUGAGUCUCUCCCCCUAACUUGGAGACUCUGCUUCAGCCACACUGACUUCCUUUCUGCCCUCAAACAUACCUUGCCUUCACCCAUCUGAAGCCUUUACCCCAGAUACAGUUACAGUACUCUCAGUUAGUCAGUACACCCAUGACUCUUUGUGUAUGUGUGUGCACGUGUAUGUAAUACAUGUAUACACACCAUACAUAGGCAUACACGUAUUACACGAUACUAUAUGUGUAUGUAUUUAUUAGUAUUUAUCUCAUUUAACUGACAUUAUUAGGUUACAUACAUACUUCCUUGUUAAAUUAUAAACUCCUAAAGGUAGAAACCACAUUUUCAGACCAUCAAUUGCCUUAGGGUCAUAUGUGAUGCAAAGUUAAGAUAAAUGAGUUAAUGAAUAAAUGAAUGAAUAAAUGACUAGAACGUUUUUGUACUCCUGUUUGCAAACACCAUCAGCAAAGUUCCCAAUGGAAGCUUUAUUUCUCCUCUGAACAAUAAAAAAUAUAGUGUCCAGAAACUCUGAGUCCUCACCUAAAAUCAAACUGGUCUAAGUCGUUCAUCGUUUAGAGUCAGUCUUAACCUGGAUGCCUGGUCAACCAUGACAACUUUGGCCCACCAUAUUGCCAUCUGGAACUACCAUCCUUCCAGUAUCACUAAUCUAUCUCAAGUUCUUUUAUUCUUGCUAUUGUGAAACUUAAAAUACGAUCAUAUUUUAUAGUUUGUAAAGUGUACUCUACACAUUUAGGUCAUUCUUCAUAUUGCUUAUGCUGCAACUGGCAGUCAGCAGACCCAGUGACUACCUGGUCUGGUCAUUCUCUUCUUGCUCCAGAACAAAGAGUAAGGUAUCACAAGCUCUCCUUAGCUGCUAACCUAAGGAUCUACAAUUCACCGUUCUCUUCUGCUAGAGAGGCCAUAAUCAUCUGAAUCACAGAGAUUCCCCCUAGUAAGACUUGGUUCUUGCCAUGUAAGAUGGCACACCUCAUUAAGUCCAGGACAGUGGAAAGCAAAUUAGCAUAAUUAGCAUAACCAUACCUUAGCACCAAAUCCCAUGCCCAAUCUCUGAUGACAUCUGUAGAUUUGUUUGAAGAAGCCAGUUAUCAUCUACCAUGGGUAAUUCAACUGCAGGUGAUGGGAGACAAAGGAGUCUUUGAUUACCUCCCCUUAUUUUUCAUGGUCA